GGCGCGCUCCUCCCGCUGGCGCCCGGCAUCGUGCUGCCCUGCCCGGAGGCUGCCCGCGGUCCCCGCCACCCCGGAGGGCGCUCCGGGCACCCAGCGCUGAGGCUUGCCGGCGGAGGUCGCGACAAGAGGCUGGACCUCGGUGGUGCGCGGCUUGCGGACCCGCAGGUGUUCCUUUGAUACAGUGGAUGGUGACUCUGCUCUUCUGCCUGAGAGUGGUUCAAAAUGUUUCUGAUGAGAGAAUGCAAAGUUUGCUGAGAAAAUGGGAUUAUCUGAGAACCAGCCAGGUGCAGAAGUUCAACAGUAUAUGAUUGUAG
This is a long non-coding RNA of Hipposideros armiger (great roundleaf bat), 314 nucleotides long. RefSeq lists it as uncharacterized. The record is from RefSeq and is a predicted model, not a curated record. The transcript has 3 exons. NCBI's taxonomy places the organism in Eukaryota, Metazoa, Chordata, Mammalia, Chiroptera, Hipposideridae.